UGGUGCCACUUUAAAUAACUAUGCUGUGACCUCACCACUGUGCCCCUCCCUCUAUAAAAGCUGGGGGUAAGGCCCUGGCAGGGUGGAGAGUCGUCAUGCGGUCUGUGGAUCGUUUGCCUGCUGGAUUCUUCUUGUCAGAUGUGGCAUGUUAGGCCAUUGGUGAAAUGCAAGCUCCUGGGAAAUCAAGCUGAUGCUGGAGAGACAGAGCAUGAACAGGGGAGGGUCAGAGAAAGAGGGA
Molecule: long non-coding RNA, 238 nt
Organism: Herpailurus yagouaroundi (jaguarundi)
Lineage: Eukaryota; Metazoa; Chordata; Mammalia; Carnivora; Felidae
Exons: 3
Source: RefSeq, a predicted model, not a curated record